AAGAGACUGGGUGCUUCGGCGCCCGACCUCCAACCCCUUGUCUAUCUUACCACUGUUGCCUCGGCGUGUAUCGCCCCCUUGACCGGGGGUGUGAGCGCCGGCGGCCUUUAACCAAAACUCUUGUUUAAACACAGUUAAAUCUGAUAAUUGAAAUUAAUAACUUCAA
This 166-nucleotide unclassified non-coding RNA is filed under the name uncultured fungus. RNAcentral's name for it is "sequence contains ITS1". Lineage: Eukaryota; Fungi. The record is from RNAcentral.